GUGGGGAAUAUUGGACAAUGGGCGAAAGCCUGAUCCAGCCAUGCCGCGUGUGUGAAGAAGGUCUUCGGAUUGUAAAGCACUUUAAGUUGGGAGGAAGGGCAGUAAGUUAAUACCUUGCUGUUUUGACGUUACCAACAGAAUAAGCACCGGCUAACUUCGUGCCAGCAGCCGCGGUAAUACGAAGGGUGCAAGCGUUAAUCGGAAUUACUGGGCGUAAAGCGCGCGUAGGUGGUUCAGCAAGUUGGAGGUGAAAUCCCCGGGCUCAACCUGGGAACUGCCUCCAAAACUACUGAGCUAGAGUACGGUAGAGGGGAGUGGAAUUUCCUGUGUAGCGGUGAAAUGCGUAGAUAUAGGAAGGAACACCAGUGGCGAAGGCGACUACCUGGACUGAUACUGACACUGAGGUGCGAAAGCGUGGGGAGCAAACAGGAUUAGAUACCCGGGUAGUCC
RNAcentral lists this ribosomal RNA (450 nucleotides) under uncultured bacterium. RNAcentral describes it as "bacterial SSU rRNA". It matches the Rfam family "Bacterial small subunit ribosomal RNA", at positions 354 to 796 of the family's 1533-position model. The record is from RNAcentral.